Molecule: ribosomal RNA, 500 nt
Filed under: uncultured bacterium
Lineage: Bacteria
Description: partial 16S ribosomal RNA
Rfam family: Bacterial small subunit ribosomal RNA
Source: RNAcentral
AUUGGACGCUGGCGGCAUGCCUUACACAUGCAAGUCGAACGGCAGCACGGGUGCUUGCACCUGGUGGCGAGUGGCGAACGGGUGAGUAAUACAUCGGAACGUACCUUAUCGUGGGGGAUAACGCAGCGAAAGCUGUGCUAAUACCGCAUACGCCCUGAGGGGGAAAGCGGGGGAUCGCAAGACCUCGCGCGAUUAGAGCGGCCGAUGCCUGAUUAGCUAGUUGGUGGGGUAAAAGCCCACCAAGGCGACGAUCAGUAGCUGGUCUGAGAGGACGAUCAGCCACACUGGGACUGAGACACGGCCCAGACUCCUACGGGAGGCAGCAGUGGGGAAUUUUGGACAAUGGGGGCAACCCUGAUCCAGCAAUGCCGCGUGAGUGAAGAAGGCCUUCGGGUUGUAAAGCUCUUUUGUCAGGGAAGAAGCACCGGCUCUAACACAGUCCGGGAAUGACGGUACCUGAAGAAUAAGCACCGGCUAACUACGUGCCAGCCGCCGUGUAA